Molecule: long non-coding RNA, 1368 nt
Filed under: Gallus gallus (chicken)
Lineage: Eukaryota; Metazoa; Chordata; Aves; Galliformes; Phasianidae
Description: lncRNA (ENSGALG00010026629.1)
Source: RNAcentral
ACAUCUUAAAUGUUUCACCCAUCAUUGCUCUCUAGAGUAUCCUAUUUGUUACAACACCAGGCAUCCUCAGAUGCCAGGAAAAAAAUACCUCUCAAUCUCAUUGCUUUUUUUCAAAAUUUCUUUAUUCAUGGAUUGGCUGGUGUACUUUGUGUAGUGAUGAGCUAUGUAUAAGCUUCCUAUGCUGAGCUAUUUAGUAUUUGUAAUAUGCAUCUCUGAACAAAUAUCAUCCUCAGUUCUGCUCCUGAGAAGUCAGCUGAGAGAUUCUUGUAGUGAAUGAGCAGUGGAAAUGUGCACCGUACUUCAUAGAAGUCUAUAAAUCAACUGUACCUUUAGAAUAGAGUCAUCGCCUUCCACUCAACUUUUCUUCUUACAAUGAAGAUAAGAGGUUCCUCGCUACAAACAAAGGACCUGGAAGAAAAGAUGAGACUGGGACUCCGGACCCUAAGCAGCAGAUGGAUCUUUGUCAGUCUCUGGACACACUCUGGAAAUUACUGUAAGGCAUAUAAUUGGUAUAGUAAAAAUGAAGUAAAUAUUCACAAAUACUUGGCAAUGAGAUUGUCUUCACAAAAGUACCUGCCAGAUUGUUCAAUGUGAACAAAUAAACGUCUAAAUAACAUUCUGAAUAACCUCUAAAGAAACCUCUACCUUCAGCUAGAAAUGAUGGUGUGCAUUCUCAGGCGAGAGGGUUCUCUUCCUCAGAGUUUUGUGGAGUUUAGAGAGUAUCCCAAACACAACCAUUAUUAGGUUGCAACAUUCACCAUAGCUUUUGCUAAUUAACGUAGAGGGACCUUCAGUACUGUAUUUUUUUACUUUUCCCCUACUUUAGAAAACAUCCACAACAGUUUCCUUUCGAAGUUUGGCCAGGCUCCGUUUUUCUACUGUCAAUAUAACCUUAGGCACAUGUUGUAAGGUUGUCAGUAGUGCCCUUUAUACCUGGGAUGCCAUCCAUCUUCUCACAUCUGAGGUGGUAUGGGGAUAUCUGUAUUCCUCAACCAAUCACUAUUCCUCAACCAGCGUGAAUGCGAAGGACAAAGCCGGGAGUCAUGAAUAUUCUAAGUAAGGGAACGGAGUUGAAACAUCAGGAAGAAAGAGAGAGAAUUUAAAAUGUUCUGUUUUUCAUAUGUUUAAAAAUCUGAAGAUCUGUCACUUGCUGCGGAUAUUCCUUCCAAAUGGGCCGUAGUUAUUUUUCUGAGCAGAGGAACGCCUGUGAGCUCUUCCAAAAGGUCUGUCUCACUGCAUGCUGUGGCAGUGCUGUUCAUUUUGCUUUUACUGUUCAAUAUGUAUUAAAAAUAUAUUAGAGAGAGAGUGCGCUGCCUGGAAUGUGAUGUUUGAAGCAUGCAGAUACCGUUUGUUUUCUUUUGGGCUCUG